CCCUUAGAUGUUCUGGGCCGCACGCGUGCUACACUGAGUGGAUCAGCGGGUCGGGUUACGCGAGAGCGUUUCCUAAUCUUCAAAUCCGCUCGUGAUGGGGAUUGACGGUUGCAAUUUUCCGUCAUGAACGAGGAAUACCUUGUAAGCGCGGGUCAUCAUCCCGCGCUGAAUACGUCCCUGCCCUUUGUACACACCGCCCGUCGCUCCUACCGAUUGAGUGGUCCGGUGAGGCUUUGGGAUCUAAGCGAAAAGAGCGUUUCGCUCCUUUUGCUGGGAGAACUCAGUCGAACCUUAUCAUUUAGAGGAAGGAGAAGUCGUAACA
This 322-nucleotide ribosomal RNA is filed under the name uncultured eukaryote. Its description in RNAcentral is "partial 18S ribosomal RNA". It matches the Rfam family "Eukaryotic small subunit ribosomal RNA", at positions 1470 to 1796 of the family's 1831-position model. The record is from RNAcentral.